GACGAACCGUGCAAACGUUGUUCGGAUUCACUGGGCUUAAAGGGCGCGUAGGCGGGCGGUCAAGUCAGGGGUGAAAUCUUUCGGCUCAACCGGAAAAGUGCCUCUGAUACUGAUCGUCUUGAGGGAGGUAGGGGGCAUGUGGAACUUCCGGUGGAGCGGUGAAAUGCGUAGAUAUCGGAAGGAACGCCGGUGGCGAAAGCGACGUGCUGGACCUCUUCUGACGCUGAGGCGCGAAAGCCAGGGGAGCAAACGGG
RNAcentral lists this ribosomal RNA (254 nucleotides) under uncultured bacterium. Its description in RNAcentral is "partial 16S ribosomal RNA". It matches the Rfam family "Bacterial small subunit ribosomal RNA", at positions 524 to 776 of the family's 1533-position model. The record is from RNAcentral.